GGGAGGAGGAACAACAGGGAUUGCCUCAGUAACGGCGAGUGAAGCGGCAACAGCUCAAAUUUGAAAGCUGGCUCCUCCGGGGUCCGCGUUGUAAUUUGCAGAGGAUGCUUCGGGUGCGGUGCCGGUCUAAGUUCUUUGGAACAAGACGUCAUAGAGGGUGAGAAUCCCGUAUGUGACUGGUUGCCUGCGCUCAUGUGAAGCUCCUUCGACGAGUCGAGUUGUUUGGGAAUGCAGCUCUAAAUGGGUGGUGUACUUCAUCUAAAGCUAAAUAUUGGCCAGAGACCGAUAGCGCACAAGUAGAGUGAUCGAAAGAUGAAAAGCACUUUGGAAAGAGAGUUAAACAGUACGUGAAAUUGUUGAAAGGGAAGCGCUUGCAAUCAGACUUGCGCGGCGCCGAUCAGCCUGGGUUCUCCCUGGUGCACUCGGUGCCGCUCAGGCCAGCAUCAGUUUCGGCGGUUGGAUAAAGGCUCAGGGAACGUGGGACGCCUCGGCGUCCGUUAUAGCCCUGGGUGCAAUGCAGCCUGCUGGGACUGAGGACCGCGCUUCGGCUAGGAUGCUGGCGUAAUGGUUGUAAGCGACCCGUCUUGAAACACGGACCAAGGAGUCUAACAUCUAUGCGAGUAUUUGGGUAUUAAACCCAUAUGCGUAAUGAAAGUGAACGGAGGUGAGAACCCUUAAGGGUGCAUCAUCGACCGAUCCUGAUGUCUUCGGAUGGAUUUGAGUAAGAGCAUAGCUGUUGGGACCCGAAAGAUGGUGAACUAUGCUUGGAUAGGGUGAAGCCAGAGGAAACUCUGGUGGAGGCUCGCAGAGGUUCUGACGUAAACCGGUCGGUUUGUGCGUCAAACAGCAGGCUGCCGAGUCUGCUAGUAGGCGCGUUACAGCGCUUGCGACACUGUCAAACUGCUGGAAACCCGGUGUCGACUUCAAAAGUUGACGCUGGAGAUCUGCAGCGAAUGAGAGCCUCUACAGGGCAUCUCUUGCGUUCAGAGACUAGAUGACAGUGGGCUCCCCCGGCAAUUGGGGGGGGGGCUUGAGAUAUAGUCCGUCUGCUGCCGCCAGGUUGCAGAGCCAACGGCAAAUCGAUCUUCAAAUCUGAGUAUAGGGCGAAAGACUAAUCGAUCCAUCUGGGGC
Molecule: ribosomal RNA, 1131 nt
Filed under: Therrya pini
Lineage: Eukaryota; Fungi; Ascomycota; Leotiomycetes; Rhytismatales; Rhytismataceae
Description: eukaryotic LSU rRNA
Rfam family: Eukaryotic large subunit ribosomal RNA
Source: RNAcentral